ACGACUAUAUUACGUUCAAACACCGGUUCCCUCUCGUACGUUCACCGAAUUUAAGCAAAGUCAAGCCUGGUCACUACCUAGAUGGGUGACCGCUUGGGAAUACCACGUGCUGCAAG
This is a non-coding RNA of Acanthosepion pharaonis, 116 nucleotides long. NCBI's taxonomy places the organism in Eukaryota, Metazoa, Mollusca, Cephalopoda, Sepiida, Sepiidae. The record is from the annotation of a GenBank genome assembly.